AGUGAACGCUGGCGGUAGGCCUAACACAUGCAAGCCGAACGGCAGCACAGUAAGAGCUUGCUCUUACGGGUGGCGAGUGGCGGACGGGUGAGGAAUACAUCGGAAUCUACUUUUUCGUGGGGGAUAACGUAGGGAAACUUACGCUAAUACCGCAUACGACCUACGGGUGAAAGCAGGGGAUCUUCGGACCUUUCGCGAUUGAAUGAGCCGAUGUCGGAUUAGCUAGUUGGCGGGGUAAAGGCCCACCAAGGCGACGAUCCGCAGCUGGUCUGAGAGGAUGAUCACCCACACUGGAACUGAGACACGGUCCAGACUCCUACGGGAGGCAGCAGUGGGGAAUAUUGGACAAUGGGCGCAAGCCUGAUCCAGCCAUACCGCGUGGGUGAAGAAGGCCUUCGGGUUGUAAAGCCCUUUUGUUGGGAAAGAAAAGCAGCAGGUUGAUACCCCGCUGUUCUGACGGUACCCAAAGAAUAAGCACCGGCUAACUUCGUG
RNAcentral lists this ribosomal RNA (492 nucleotides) under uncultured bacterium. RNAcentral's name for it is "partial 16S ribosomal RNA". It matches the Rfam family "Bacterial small subunit ribosomal RNA", at positions 29 to 507 of the family's 1533-position model. The record is from RNAcentral.